AACAAAAAAAAAAAAAAGAAAAGCAAAGCAAGCCCAGAUCAAAUAUGAUUCAUAGAAGCAAAUGCAGGAAUCAAAUUUAACAUGUAAUUCAUCCCAGUAAUCAUUACUACCAAGCCAUAACCUCUACAAAAGACCUAUAAAUUCUUAAUCAUGCCAAAAAAAGUGACAAAACAGCCGAAAUUAGGUACAAAAGCUUAGAACAGAUGAAUCUUCGAAGAGAGAAAAGGAAAAACUCAAAGUCGACAGAGAACAAGAGAAAUUAGUCAGGACUAGGGCUUUUACCGGUAGCGAAGACGCGAUCUCCG
This 305-nucleotide unclassified non-coding RNA is filed under the name Hevea brasiliensis (rubber tree). The record is from RNAcentral. Lineage: Eukaryota; Viridiplantae; Streptophyta; Magnoliopsida; Malpighiales; Euphorbiaceae.